CGCUGGCGGCGUGCCUAAUACAUGCAAGUCGAACGGUCUUUCUAUGGAAGCUUGCUCCACUGAGAAGAUAGUGGCGAACGGGUGAGUAACAACGUGGGUAACCUGCCCAUAAGAGGGGGGAUAACAUCCGGAAACGGGUGCUAAUACCGCAUAGUUUUCUUGAUCGCAUGAUUGAGAAAGGAAAGACGGCCUUUGUGCUGUCGCUUAUGGAUGGACCCGCGGCGUAUUAGUUAGUUGGUGAGGUAACGGCUCACCAAGACGAUGAUACGUAGCCGACCUGAGAGGGUGAUCGGCCACAUUGGGACUGAGACACGGCCCAAACUCCUACGGGAGGCAGCAGUAGGGAAUCUUCCGCAAUGGACGAAAGUCUGACGGAGCAACGCCGCGUGAGUGAAGAAGGUUUUCGGGAAUCGUAAAACUCUGUUGUCAGAGCAGAACAAGUUGGAGAGUAACUGCUCCAGCCUUGACGGUAUCUGACCAGAAAGCCACGGCUAACUACGUGCCAGCAGCAGC
RNAcentral lists this ribosomal RNA (513 nucleotides) under uncultured bacterium. Its description in RNAcentral is "bacterial SSU rRNA". It matches the Rfam family "Bacterial small subunit ribosomal RNA", at positions 34 to 518 of the family's 1533-position model. The record is from RNAcentral.